UACAGAGGUCGCAAGCGUUGUUCGGAUUCAUUGGGCGUAAAGGGCGUGUAGGUGGCGCGCUAAGUCGGGCGUGAAAUUUCGGAGCUUAACUCCGAAACUGCAUUCGAUACUGGCGUGCUUGAGGACUGGAGAGGAGACUGGAAUUCAUGGUGUAGCAGUGAAAUGCGUAGAGAUCAUGAGGAAGACCAGUGGCGAAGGCGGGUCUCUGGACAGUUCCUGACACUGAGACACGAAGGCCAGGGGAGCAAACGGG
RNAcentral lists this ribosomal RNA (253 nucleotides) under uncultured bacterium. Its description in RNAcentral is "partial 16S ribosomal RNA". It matches the Rfam family "Bacterial small subunit ribosomal RNA", at positions 524 to 776 of the family's 1533-position model. The record is from RNAcentral.